AGUCAUAUGCUUGUCUCAAAGAUUAAGCCAUGCAUGUCUAAGUACACGCCUUUACACGGCAAAACUGCGAAUGGCUCAUUAAAUCAGUUAUGGUUCCUUAGAUCGUACAAUCCUACUUGGAUAACUGUGGCAAUUCUAGAGCUAAUACAUGCAACACAGCUCCGACCUUACGGGAAGAGCGCUUUUGUUAGCCCAAAACCAAUCCGGUCCUCGUGGCCGGUCCUCUAUGGUGACUCUGAACAACUUUGUGCCGAUCGUAUGCCCUUGCGGCGACGACGCGUCUUUCAAAUGUCUGCCCUAUCAACUGUCGAUGGUACGUGCUAUGCCUACCAUGGUGAUAACGGGUAACGGGGAAUCAGGGUUCGAUUCCGGAGAGGGAGCAUGAGAUACGGCUACCACAUCCAAGGAAGGCAGCAGGCGCGCAAAUUACCCACUCCCGACACGGGGAGGUAGUGACGAAAAAUAACAAUACGGGACUCUUUCGAGGCCCCGUAAUUGGAAUGAGUACACUUUAAAUCCUUUAACGAGGAUCCAU
This 535-nucleotide ribosomal RNA is filed under the name Ruditapes philippinarum (Manila clam). RNAcentral's name for it is "SSU rRNA". It matches the Rfam family "Eukaryotic small subunit ribosomal RNA", at positions 22 to 548 of the family's 1831-position model. Lineage: Eukaryota; Metazoa; Mollusca; Bivalvia; Venerida; Veneridae. The record is from RNAcentral.